AUCUUCGGGGGCGCCAGAAGCUGCGGGCUGCCAGCCGCGCAGGGGCUGCGGCCCCAGGCCCCAGCGGUCCUGCCCCGGCCCUGCCAACAAGGGGCGGGCAGCAGAGGCAGCAGGAGGCCCGCGGGAGCGGCGGGCUUGGUGGGUCUCGGCCAAAGGCGUGGCCCCGCGCCCCCUGAGGAAACAAGCGCCUAAGUGGUCGCACGGGCAAAUAGCCGGUUCCUAGCGCCCUAACCAGCCUCCCAGGCCGAGCGACCCAAACAGUGCAGGCCUUAUCUAGGCCUCGGGCCCCGGAAGGCAGCCGAGAAGGGACAAAACGUCUCGCCUCAGUGUCGAAGGCCCGUAUUCCAACAACCGCGGGCCCCAAGCGUCGAGGUCUGGAGUCCGUGCGGCCUAAGGCAAACAGGCCAGCGUCCAAGCCCAAGAUGCCCAUCCCCAGGUGGGUCCACCCUCCUGAGCCGGCGAAAAGGCCCGGAAAAGACCGAUCCCAUACCGCACGCGGCCUGCCCUGAGUCACCAAGAGCGCCUUCGGGCGAGCGCCAUUCUCGGCCGGAGGCCACGCGAGCCACGCUGAUUUCCGAGCGCUGGUGCCCCAAAACUACCCCAUUGCAAGGAGCUGUUAGGGCUCUAGGGUAAUAGAUGGGAGCCCCAAAAGGCGCCUGGAGGCACCAGAGUCCAGCAGCGCUGCCUCAGCCGCUCGUCCGCGCCCUAGUGUCCUAUUUCUUUAAAAUAAAAGCUGCGAGCCCUACAAUUACUGGGAUUACAGUGAGCAGGUAUUGAUCUGCAGCCGGCAUUGUAGGAUCAAGCAGGCGGGCGGACGCAGACAUCGCUGCUUCCCACCCCCUUGCCGCCGCCUAGGCCUGCAAAACGCUAAAAAACCAUUUCUAAAUGUUUGAUUUCAAACGCACCAUCAACACCUGCUGCAAAACUGGGAGCUGUUUAUUUAUGGCUGCAAAUGUGUGCGUGCGAGAGAGAGGGAGAAUUGAUCUUUGCCUGGACUUAAAGAUGGAGCCGAAGGCGCUGGAGGGAAUUUGGGUUUACGCGCCUAGCUCAGACCGGGGCGCUGAAGGGGGCCGUUUGGCACGAAGCCCGAGGUCGCUCUUUUCCGCACCCCUCACCUCGCGACCUUUCAGGAAUCUGAGGGGUCCUGAAGCGGCCUGGCUGACCCACCUCCCCGGGGCCGAGCUUCGAGAAAGGCUUCAUGGAGGGAGCCAUCCCGUCCCUGUCUUUAAAAUGAGCGCAAUAAAAGGGGGCAAAUCCUCAAACGUGAACCUGAUCACUUGUCACAGAAGCAACUUGCCAUGAAAUCCGCUAAUGCGCCGCGACUCGCCCACCCGGAUAGAUAACCCCCGCAGUGGUGUAACCAGCGCGCGCGCCCAAAGCCGUCUUGUCCCUCGAAUGCGCUCACCGCCGGCAACACUUGGAGAAUCCAGCCCACAGUGGUUUCGAAAACCCCAUUUUCCUGAUUGCAGCUCAGACUGUGGAACCCCGAGAGCCUCCCCAAAGAGGGAGCGUGAAUCGGGCCAAGUAGUGGGUCGGGGACACACACGCACGCACGCACGCAUAUGCACACAGAGGCAGAGCAGUGCUUCAUAGGACCUAAGAUCCAGGGUGGCUGGAAAGGGAUCUGGGAGGCCACGUCUGAAGGAGCCAGCAAGGCCCUGGUGCUGCCUCUGCCAGAGUCGUGCAGCCACUGAAGCAGCCUGAUCCUGAUAGUUAUUUUGGGGGGAAAAACACCUGGAACCCAGGUUUGAGCUAAAGAAAGUAAGGGCAAGUGACAGAUGAUCAAGCAUUUCUUUGAAAUGAGGAAGAACUGAGAACUACCCAGCUGGCCUGGCCUUAGGGCAAACUGGACCUUAGGAAACUACUCUCUUCGCACACACAGCAGCACACAUCCUCCGAUGGCAAGUUCACCGGUGCCCAGCAAGGGCCACUGCACCUCCUAACUGCUUUUUCAGCCUCCUCCAGGUUUUGCCAGGCAAAUGAAACAAGAACUCAAUAGUAAAUUAUUUUGUUCAGACUUCUGUCUUUUUAUGAAAAUAAAAGGCAACACUUUGUCAUUUUUAAUCAUAUAAGCAGACAAUAAACCUAAUCUUGAUAUUGAUUUUUCCAGAAUCAAGUGAUUUUGUGCAGUGUCUGUUUUAUUUCCUUUCUGAGGAAGAGCUGUUUGUUGGUAGAUGGUGUGGCUCUAAGACUGCACUCCAGUGGGCAGGUGCUUAUCUGAAACAUGUAGCUGAUUGUGGACUUUGAAGCGAGAUAGCUAAAAUGGGGUUCUGCCUGGGUGGCAGGAAGUUUGGUUUUUGUCUAGUUAUUGAGAUAAUGGUUUCAACCUCUGGUGCACUAGGAUAGAUUUAAGACUCAGCUAGUGCUUUUAGAAGUUAUGGCCUCAG
Bos taurus (domestic cattle) is the source of this 2387-nucleotide long non-coding RNA. The record is from Ensembl. NCBI's taxonomy places the organism in Eukaryota, Metazoa, Chordata, Mammalia, Artiodactyla, Bovidae.